Long non-coding RNA from Raphanus sativus (radish), 682 nucleotides. RefSeq lists it as uncharacterized. The transcript is spliced from 2 exons. The record is from RefSeq and is a predicted model, not a curated record. Lineage: Eukaryota; Viridiplantae; Streptophyta; Magnoliopsida; Brassicales; Brassicaceae.
AAGGUCAUUGGAGACGAAUACACAAAGGCUUUAAUCUCUAAUGAGACAUAACCCCCACAAAACUAUUCUCUACAACCUAAUUUAUUCUACAUGACUCCAAAAUAUGAGAAAUUACAAUAAGACCAUUAAUAAAAGGACAUCAUUGAUCAAAAUAAAGAGAGCCACACGAUCUAUUUUUUUCUUCUUCUCCUUCCAGCAUGGGACCCAUCCCUCUCUUCUGCAGACUCCUUCUUCAAUUCACGACAAAAAUCAAUCUCACAUCCUUUCAAUUUUUCUUUUCAAUUCUUCACCAACCAAACUCUCCUUUAUCUAUUUUCUUUGUCAUUCAACCAUAUAUUAAACGACAAGCAGCUGAAUCUUCUACAAAAAAAAUUGUAUCUUCCUUCAUAGAUGAACUUGAUGACAAAGAUGACAACGACAAUGGUGACAAUGACUAUGAAGAAACUACUUACGAAGAAAGCCACAACGAAGAAAACAGCAGCAAGGGAAGGAGCAACGAGGGAAGGAGUCUUACUUAUGUGUUAUGGACCUUGCUUAUAUGUUGUGGAACUUAGUUAUGUGUUAGAGAUGUUAUUUAUGUGUUAUAAAACUUUGUAAUGGAUAAAAUUCGUAAUGUGUUGUUUAUGUGAGGUACUAUUGGUAAAAGUUCAUAUAAUAUAUCAGUCAUGUUUUUGUGUUGUAA